GGGUUGUGAGGUUAAGCGACUAAGCGUACACGGUGGAUGCCCUGGCAGUCAGAGGCGAUGAAGGACGUGCUAAUCUGCGAUAAGCGUCGGUAAGGUGAUAUGAACCGUUAUAACCGGCGAUUUCCGAAUGGGGAAACCCAGUGUGUUUCGACACACUAUCAUUAACUGAAUCCAUAGGUUAAUGAGGCGAACCGGGGGAACUGAAACAUCUAAGUACCCCGAGGAAAAGAAAUCAACCGAGAUUCCCCCAGUAGCGGCGAGCGAACGGGGAGCAGCCCAGAGCCUGAAUCAGUGUGUGUGUUAGUGGAAGCGUCUGGAAAGGCGCGCGAUACAGGGUGACAGCCCCGUACACAAAAAUGCACAUACUGUGAGCUCGAUGAGUAGGGCGGGACACGUGGUAUCCUGUCUGAAUAUGGGGGGACCAUCCUCCAAGGCUAAAUACUCCUGACUGACCGAUAGUGAACCAGUACCGUGAGGGAAAGGCGAAAAGAACCCCGGCGAGGGGAGUGAAAAAGAACCUGAAACCGUGUACGUACAAGCAGUGGGAGCACGCUUAGGCGUGUGACUGCGUACCUUUUGUAUAAUGGGUCAGCGACUUAUAUUCUGUAGCAAGGUUAACCGAAUAGGGGAGCCGAAGGGAAACCGAGUCUUAACUGGGCGUUAAGUUGCAGGGUAUAGACCCGAAACCCGGUGAUCUAGCCAUGGGCAGGUUGAAGGUUGGGUAACACUAACUGGAGGACCGAACCGACUAAUGUUGAAAAAUUAGCGGAUGACUUGUGGCUGGGGGUGAAAGGCCAAUCAAACCGGGAGAUAGCUGGUUCUCCCCGAAAGCUAUUUAGGUAGCGCCUCGUGAAUUCAUCUCCGGGGGUAGAGCACUGUUUCGGCAAGGGGGUCAUCCCGACUUACCAACCCGAUGCAAACUGCGAAUACCGGAGAAUGUUAUCACGGGAGACACACGGCGGGUGCUAACGUCCGUCGUGAAGAGGGAAACAACCCAGACCGCCAGCUAAGGUCCCAAAGUCAUGGUUAAGUGGGAAACGAUGUGGGAAGGCCCAGACAGCCAGGAUGUUGGCUUAGAAGCAGCCAUCAUUUAAAGAAAGCGUAAUAGCUCACUGGUCGAGUCGGCCUGCGCGGAAGAUGUAACGGGGCUAAACCAUGCACCGAAGCUGCGGCAGCGACGCUGAUGCGUUGUUGGGUAGGGGAGCGUUCUGUAAGCCUGCGAAGGUGUGCUGUGAGGCAUGCUGGAGGUAUCAGAAGUGCGAAUGCUGACAUAAGUAACGAUAAAGCGGGUGAAAAGCCCGCUCGCCGGAAGACCAAGGGUUCCUGUCCAACGUUAAUCGGGGCAGGGUGAGUCGACCCCUAAGGCGAGGCCGAAAGGCGUAGUCGAUGGGAAACAGGUUAAUAUUCCUGUACUUGGUGUUACUGCGAAGGGGGGACGGAGAAGGCUAUGUUGGCCGGGCGACGGUUGUCCCGGUUUAAGCGUGUAGGCUGGUUUUCCAGGCAAAUCCGGAAAAUCAAGGCUGAGGCGUGAUGACGAGGCACUACGGUGCUGAAGCAACAAAUGCCCUGCUUCCAGGAAAAGCCUCUAAGCAUCAGGUAACAUCAAAUCGUACCCCAAACCGACACAGGUGGUCAGGUAGAGAAUACCAAGGCGCUUGAGAGAACUCGGGUGAAGGAACUAGGCAAAAUGGUGCCGUAACUUCGGGAGAAGGCACGCUGAUAUGUAGGUGAAGUCCCUCGCGGAUGGAGCUGAAAUCAGUCGAAGAUACCAGCUGGCUGCAACUGUUUAUUAAAAACACAGCACUGUGCAAACACGAAAGUGGACGUAUACGGUGUGACGCCUGCCCGGUGCCGGAAGGUUAAUUGAUGGGGUCAGCGCAAGCGAAGCUCUUGAUCGAAGCCCCGGUAAACGGCGGCCGUAACUAUAACGGUCCUAAGGUAGCGAAAUUCCUUGUCGGGUAAGUUCCGACCUGCACGAAUGGCGUAAUGAUGGCCAGGCUGUCUCCACCCGAGACUCAGUGAAAUUGAACUCGCUGUGAAGAUGCAGUGUACCCGCGGCAAGACGGAAAGACCCCGUGAACCUUUACUAUAGCUUGACACUGAACAUUGAGCCUUGAUGUGUAGGAUAGGUGGGAGGCUUUGAAGUGUGGACGCCAGUCUGCAUGGAGCCGGCCUUGAAAUACCACCCUUUAAUGUUUGAUGUUCUAACGUUGACCCGUAAUCCGGGUUGCGGACAGUGUCUGGUGGGUAGUUUGACUGGGGCGGUCUCCUCCUAAAGAGUAACGGAGGAGCACGAAGGUUGGCUAAUCCUGGUCGGACAUCAGGAGGUUAGUGCAAUGGCAUAAGCCAGCUUGACUGCGAGCGUGACGGCGCGAGCAGGUGCGAAAGCAGGUCAUAGUGAUCCGGUGGUUCUGAAUGGAAGGGCCAUCGCUCAACGGAUAAAAGGUACUCCGGGGAUAACAGGCUGAUACCGCCCAAGAGUUCAUAUCGACGGCGGUGUUUGGCACCUCGAUGUCGGCUCAUCACAUCCUGGGGCUGAAGUAGGUCCCAAGGGUAUGGCUGUUCGCCAUUUAAAGUGGUACGCGAGCUGGGUUUAGAACGUCGUGAGACAGUUCGGUCCCUAUCUGCCGUGGGCGCUGGAGAACUGAGGGGGGCUGCUCCUAGUACGAGAGGACCGGAGUGGACGCAUCACUGGUGUUCGGGUUGUCAUGCCAAUGGCACUGCCCGGUAGCUAAAUGCGGAAGAGAUAAGUGCUGAAAGCAUCUAAGCACGAAACUUGCCCCGAGAUGAGUUCUCCCUGACUCCUUGAGAGUCCUGAAGGAACGUUGAAGACGACGACGUUGAUAGGCCGGGUGUGUAAGCGCAGCGAUGCGUUGAGCUAACCGGUACUAAUGAACCGUGAGGCUUAACCUUACAACGCCGAAGGUGUUU
This 2931-nucleotide ribosomal RNA is filed under the name Escherichia coli. RNAcentral's name for it is "bacterial LSU rRNA". It matches the Rfam family "Bacterial large subunit ribosomal RNA". Lineage: Bacteria; Pseudomonadati; Pseudomonadota; Gammaproteobacteria; Enterobacterales; Enterobacteriaceae. The record is from RNAcentral.